RNAcentral lists this ribosomal RNA (407 nucleotides) under uncultured bacterium. Its description in RNAcentral is "bacterial SSU rRNA". It matches the Rfam family "Bacterial small subunit ribosomal RNA", at positions 442 to 842 of the family's 1533-position model. The record is from RNAcentral.
AGAACGAAAAGGAGCUAUCGAAUAAAUAGCUCUGCUGACGGUACUCUAAGAAUAAGCACCGGCUAACUACGUGCCAGCAGCCGCGGUAAUACGUAGGGUGCGAGCGUUAAUCGGAAUUACUGGGCGUAAAGGGUGUGCAGGCGGCUGAGUAAGACAGAUGUGAAAUCCCCGGGCUUAACCUGGGAACCGCAUAUGUGACUGCUUGGCUAGGGUGCGUCAGAGGGAGGUGGAAUUCCACGUGUAGCAGUGAAAUGCGUAGAUAUGUGGAAGAACACCGAUGGCGAAGGCAGCCUCCUGGGACGCAACUGACGCUCAUACACGAAAGCGUGGGGAGCAAACAGGAUUAGAUACCCUGGUAGUCCACGCCCUAAACGAUGUCAACUAGUUGUUGGGGAUUAAAAUUCUCA